UUUCAGCACUGAAACUCACCGGCU
Molecule: unclassified non-coding RNA, 24 nt
Filed under: Mus musculus (house mouse)
Lineage: Eukaryota; Metazoa; Chordata; Mammalia; Rodentia; Muridae
Description: oocyte_clustered_small_RNA5818
Source: RNAcentral